CGAUAACGGCGUCGAGCGGCGGACGGGUGAGUAAUGCCUAGGAAAUUGCCCUGAUGUGGGGGAUAACCAUUGGAAACGAUGGCUAAUACCGCAUGAUGCCUACGGGCCAAAGAGGGGGACCUUCGGGCCUCUCGCGUCAGGAUAUGCCUAGGUGGGAUUAGCUAGUUGGUGAGGUAAGGGCUCACCAAGGCGACGAUCCCUAGCUGGUCUGAGAGGAUGAUCAGCCACACUGGAACUGAGACACGGUCCAGACUCCUACGGGAGGCAGCAGUGGGGAAUAUUGCACAAUGGGCGCAAGCCUGAUGCAGCCAUGCCGCGUGUGUGAAGAAGGCCUUCGGGUUGUAAAGCACUUUCAGUCGUGAGGAAGGUGGUGGAGUUAAUAGCUCUAUCAUUUGACGUUAGCGACAGAAGAAGCACCGGCUAACUCCGUGCCAGCAGCCGCGGUAAUACGGAGGGUGCGAGCGUUAAUCGGAAUUACUGGGCGUAAAGCGCAUGCAGGUGGUUUGUUAAGUCAGAUGUGAAAGCCCGGGGCUCAACCUCGGAAUA
This 546-nucleotide ribosomal RNA is filed under the name Vibrio sp. B21-2. Its description in RNAcentral is "bacterial SSU rRNA". It matches the Rfam family "Bacterial small subunit ribosomal RNA", at positions 77 to 622 of the family's 1533-position model. Lineage: Bacteria; Pseudomonadati; Pseudomonadota; Gammaproteobacteria; Vibrionales; Vibrionaceae. The record is from RNAcentral.